This 497-nucleotide ribosomal RNA is filed under the name uncultured bacterium. Its description in RNAcentral is "partial 16S ribosomal RNA". It matches the Rfam family "Bacterial small subunit ribosomal RNA", at positions 28 to 507 of the family's 1533-position model. The record is from RNAcentral.
GAUGAACGCUGGCGGCGUGCUUAAUACAUGCAAGUCGAGCGAAAAGACGAUUUGCUUGCUCCUCUGACGUUAGAGGGGGACGGAAGAGUAACACGUGGUUAACUUAACUAUAAGACUGGGCUAACUUAGGGAAACCGGUGCUAAUACCGGCUACUAUAUUGAACCGCAUGGUUCAAUAGUGAUCGACGGAUUUGCUGUCACUUAUCGAUGGAUUCGCGCCGCUUUAGCUAGUUGGUAAGGUAACGGCUUACCAAGGCAACGAUGCGUAUCCUACCUGAGAGGGUGUACGGCGACACUGGGACUGGUAGACGGUACAGACUCCGACGGGAGGCAGCGGUAGGGAAUCGUCCGAGAUGUGCGGAAGCCUGACGGAGCGGCGCCGGGUUGAUGAAGAAGGGCUGCGGAUCGUAUGACGCUGUUAUUAUGGUAGAACAAAUGUGUAAGUGACUAAGCGCUUCUUGACGGUACCUGGACAGAAAGCCACGGCUAACUACGUG